Molecule: ribosomal RNA, 465 nt
Filed under: Vreelandella stevensii
Lineage: Bacteria; Pseudomonadati; Pseudomonadota; Gammaproteobacteria; Oceanospirillales; Halomonadaceae
Description: partial 16S ribosomal RNA
Rfam family: Bacterial small subunit ribosomal RNA
Source: RNAcentral
UCUACGGGCGGCAGCAGUGGGGAAUAUUGGACAAUGGGCGAAAGCCUGAUCCAGCCAUGCCGCGUGUGUGAAGAAGGCCUUCGGGUUGUAAAGCACUUUCAGUGGGGAAGAAAGCCUUGGGGCUAAUACCCUCGAGGAAGGACAUCACCCACAGAAGAAGCACCGGCUAACUCCGUGCCAGCAGCCGCGGUAAUACGGAGGGUGCGAGCGUUAAUCGGAAUUACUGGGCGUAAAGCGCGCGUAGGCGGUCUGAUAAGCCGGUUGUGAAAGCCCCGGGCUCAACCUGGGAACGGCAUCCGGAACUGUCAGGCUAGAGUGCAGGAGAGGAAGGUAGAAUUCCCGGUGUAGCGGUGAAAUGCGUAGAGAUCGGGAGGAAUACCAGUGGCGAAGGCGGCCUUCUGGACUGACACUGACGCUGAGGUGCGAAAGCGUGGGUAGCAAACAGGAUUAGAUACCCUUGUAGUC